UAAGAUGUACCUCCACAUUUCCCAAAAUGGUACAUGGGGAUCCAUGUACCACUUCAGGGAACCCUGAAGCUACAAGAUAAACAUUACAUACCCUCCCAAUGUGGACAGAUCAUAUAAAAUAAUGAACGUGAUGAGGUAAACAUUAAAAAAAAUAUUUUUUUUAAUGUUUAUUUUAUUUUUAAGAGACAGAGAAGGAGUGGUGCAGGGUCAGAGAGAGGAGACACAGGCUCCAGGCUCUAAGCUGUCAGCACAGAGCCCGACGUGGGGCUUGAACUCAUGAACCGUGAGAUCACGGGCUGAGCCGAAGUUGGACGCUUAACCAACUGAGACACCCAGGUGCCCCGAGUUACCCUCUGUCAACCAUGGUCUGGAAGCAGAUGGUCUUCCUUCUGAUGAAUCACCAGAAGGUCAAUAGUAGUCUAAAGCUAUGUCAUGUUUACAUCAUUCACCUCCCAUCUCAUCAUGUAGCCAUUUUAUCAUCUCACAUCAUCAUAAGAAAGUUUUAAAAGAAAAAAUUUUAAAGCAACAAGAUGUCACAAAACUCUCUCUUGCUGGCUUUGAUUAAGCUGCUAUACUGGAGAGGACCACAUGGCAAAGAACUGAGGGUAGCCUUUGGCCAACAGGCAGCAAGGACUGAGGCCCCAAGUCUAAUAGUUCUGGAGGAACUGAAUCUUGCCAACCACUGAAUGAGCUUGGAAGCAAAUCUCGCCCAAAUGACCUUUGAGAUGAGAGAUUGAGAGGCCCUGAAGCUGAGGACCCAGCUACGCCUACCUGGAUUCCUGACCCACAGAAAACGUGAGUUAGUAAGUGUGUGCUGUUUUAAACCUCUAAGUUUUGCGGUAAUUUGUCACACAGCAAUAAAUAACUAAUACACUAUCUAUCCCCCAAUUUCCACAGUGUCUUACUCUCUCUUGUACUCCUUGCUCCAGCACAGUGAUCUUAUGAUAGACUAAAGCCUGUAAAGCUAUACAGAUCUGGCCCAGAUCCUGUAUAGAUAGCAUUUCAGUGUAUUUCCGACUAAAUUCAUUAAUGAAUGACAGCUUAAUAUUCUAAGGGAAUAAAUUCUAAGGGGUCAAAUUCUAAGGGAAAAGAGAACAGUUUAUUGAUCAAUUGCUCAUAUUUUCAAAAUGUCAGAGACGAACUGAACAAAAUUCAUUAUUUUCUCUCCACCCUUGCCCUUGUUCACCACUAAUCCAAAAGCAAAGUUAAAGUCUCAUAAAAGUCGGGGUGUCUGGGUGGCUCAGUCGGUAUCACAUGUGACUCUUAUCCUUGGGUCUUGAGUUGAAGCUCCUCCAUGUUGGAUAUAGAGCCCACUUAAAAAAAAUUAAUUAAUUUAAGAAAAAGUCUCAUAAGGGGCGCCUGGGUGGUUCAGUAGGUUAAGCGUUGGACUUCGCUCUCAGGUCAUGAUCUCACCACGGUUUGUGAGUUCAAGCCCCACGCUGGGCUCUCUGAUACCGGCGUGGAGCCUUCUUCGGAUCCUCUGUCCCCUUCUCUCUCUGCCCCUCCCCUGCUCUUCCUCUGUCUCUCUCAAAAAUGAAUAAACAUUAAAAAAAUUUUUUUUAAGUUUCAUAAAACUCAUUAUUCCAAAACCAAAAACUUUCCACA
Molecule: long non-coding RNA, 1605 nt
Organism: Neofelis nebulosa (Clouded leopard)
Lineage: Eukaryota; Metazoa; Chordata; Mammalia; Carnivora; Felidae
Exons: 3
Source: RefSeq, a predicted model, not a curated record